CACGUAGGGCGCGAGCGUUGUCCGGAAUUAUUGGGCGUAAAGAGCUCGUAGGCGGCCUGUUGCGUCCGCUGUGAAAGCCCGGGGCUUAACCCCGGGUCGGCAGUGGAUACGGGCAGGCUAGAGGUAGGUAGGGGAGAAUGGAAUUCCCGGUGUAGCGGUGAAAUGCGCAGAUAUCGGGAGGAACACCGGUGGCGAAGGCGGGUCUCUGGGCAGUAACUGACGCUGAGGAGCGAAAGCGUGGGGAGCGAACAGG
RNAcentral lists this ribosomal RNA (253 nucleotides) under uncultured bacterium. Its description in RNAcentral is "partial 16S ribosomal RNA". It matches the Rfam family "Bacterial small subunit ribosomal RNA", at positions 524 to 776 of the family's 1533-position model. The record is from RNAcentral.